RNAcentral lists this ribosomal RNA (433 nucleotides) under uncultured bacterium. RNAcentral describes it as "partial 16S ribosomal RNA". It matches the Rfam family "Bacterial small subunit ribosomal RNA", at positions 29 to 507 of the family's 1533-position model. The record is from RNAcentral.
AACGAACGCUGGCGGCAGGCCUAACACAUGCAAGUCGAGCGCGCCCUUCGGGGUGAGCGGUGGACGGGUGAGUAACGCGUGGGAACGUACCCUUUGCUACGGAAUAGCCUCGGGAAACUGAGAGUAAUACCGUAUACGCCCUUUGGGGGAAAGAUUUAUCGGCAAAGGAUCGGCCCGCGUUGGAUUAGGUAGUUGGUGGGGUAAUGGCCCACCAAGCCGACGAUCCAUAGCUGGUUUGAGAGGAUGAUCAGCCACACUGGGACUGAGACACGGCCCAGACUCCUACGGGAGGCAGCAGUGGGGAAUCUUAGACAAUGGGGGCAACCCUGAUCUAGCCAUGCCGCGUGAGUGAUGAAGGCCUUAGGGUUGUAAAGCUCUUUCAGCUGGGAAGAUAAUGACGGUACCAGCAGAAGAAGCCCCGGCUAACUCCGUG